Syngnathoides biaculeatus (alligator pipefish) is the source of this 1027-nucleotide long non-coding RNA. RefSeq lists it as uncharacterized. Lineage: Eukaryota; Metazoa; Chordata; Actinopteri; Syngnathiformes; Syngnathidae. The transcript is spliced from 4 exons. The record is from RefSeq and is a predicted model, not a curated record.
AACAAACAAACAAACAAAAAAAAGACUGGAUGGCUCGUUGGCCACCAAAACUGAAGUCGCCGUCCGCCAUCUUGAUCUUCAUGUCGACCUGUGCAGCGUUAAUCGCCAAUUUGGUGGCUGUGAGAAAACAUUGCACAAUUUGACAGCAAAGUGGAACGCUGGAAGCCGGCGCUCUCAUCUCAAGGCGCACUUGCAAGUCAAAGCAGACAAAUGAAGGAAGCAGUAAGCUAACCGGCUCGUAUCUGAAGGCAGCGCUGCGUCAACAAUUGCACUUUUGUGCUGCUAUCGCUAUUGUUCAAAUAUUCAUGUCCAGAGUGAAGUCAAAAAUCUGACACGACCAGGCUUCCUACCUUCUGAAUGGUGCGACAGUGUUAGUAGGCUCACGCAAGAAGCCCCAAUUCCGGAACCAAAAACCGUGAUCCGACCCGGGUCGCCUCCGAAGUAGCCGAUGUUUUUGCUGAUCCAGCGGAGUGCUUGAAUCUGAUCGAGGAGUCCAUAAUUGCCUUUGGCGGCCUGGUCUCCAGUACUGAGGAAACCUGACGUACGGGGACAGAACAGAACACGGGUGGUCAUAGCCGGCGGGCGUCCAAACCCAGUCUCUGCCUUCAAGUGUCUCCUGCGGUGUUUUGACCCUUGGCGUCGCCCGAGGCGGUUUGCCCAUCAAACCUGAAUGCUCUCUUUCUGCCUAGCAUGGACAAAAGCACGCAGCACGAAGUCGCCAGUGCUGAGAAUUGAUCCUGCUACGUAUUCCCCCGCGUCCACUCCAGUCCAGUCCAGUCCUGGCACAGCGCGCCGGUUCUGAAUGCUAAACGCGAGCAUGCGGAAUCAUGUCGACCUUGCGCGUUCUUGGGAAUUCUUCAAUGGCCAAUCAGACAAACGGGUCCAAAUUAGACGUGCGAAACAAUAUGACAUUCCGUCGUGGCGCUUGCUCUUCUGAACGCGACAUUAGCAUGCAAUUUUUUUUUUCAUACCCUUCUACAUUUUUCUAUGAUGUCUCUUAAGUGGACCUUAUUGAGCAGCGUUCAAG